This 283-nucleotide ribosomal RNA is filed under the name uncultured bacterium. RNAcentral's name for it is "partial 16S ribosomal RNA". It matches the Rfam family "Bacterial small subunit ribosomal RNA", at positions 793 to 1055 of the family's 1533-position model. The record is from RNAcentral.
GUCCUAGCCCUAAACGAUGGGUACUAGGUUGUGGGCCGACAUGGGCUCACAGCCGAAGCAAAAGUGUUAAGUACCCCGCCUGGGGAGUAUGGUCGCAAGGCUGAAACUCAAAGGAAUUGACGGGGGCUCACACAAGCGGUGGAGCAUGUGGCUUAAUUCGAGGCUACGCGAAGAACCUUAUCCUGGGCUUGACAUGUGCGAAAGCGCAAGGAAGUAGCCGCCGGAAACGGCCGGCCAACGGUAUCCAGUCCGGAACCUUGCACAGGUGCUGCAUGGCUGUCGU